GAUGAACGCUGGCGGCGUGCCUAAUACAUGCAAGUCGAGCGAACAGACGAGGAGCUUGCUCCUCUGACGUUAGCGGCGGACGGGUGAGUAACACGUGGAUAACCUACCUAUAAGACUGGGAUAACUUCGGGAAACCGGAGCUAAUACCGGAUAAUAUAUUGAACCGCAUGGUUCAAUAGUGAAAGACGGUUUUGCUGUCACUUCUAGAUGGAUCCGCGCCGCAUUAGCUAGUUGGUAAGGUAACGGCCUACCAAGGCAACGAUGCGUAGCCGAGCUGAGAAGGUGAUCGGCCACACUGGAACUGAGACACGGUCCAGACUCCUACGGGAGGCAGCAGUAGGGAAUCGUCCGCAAUGGGCGAAAGCUUGACGGAGCAACGCCGCGUGAGUGAUGAAGGUCUUCGGAUCGUAAAACUCUGUUAUUAGGGAAGAACAAAUGUGUAAGUAACUAUGCACGUCUUGACGGUACCUAAUCAGAAAGCCACGGCUAACUACGUG
This 497-nucleotide ribosomal RNA is filed under the name uncultured bacterium. RNAcentral's name for it is "partial 16S ribosomal RNA". It matches the Rfam family "Bacterial small subunit ribosomal RNA", at positions 28 to 507 of the family's 1533-position model. The record is from RNAcentral.